This 279-nucleotide ribosomal RNA is filed under the name uncultured bacterium. RNAcentral describes it as "partial 16S ribosomal RNA". It matches the Rfam family "Bacterial small subunit ribosomal RNA", at positions 506 to 784 of the family's 1533-position model. The record is from RNAcentral.
UGCCAGCAGCCGCGGUAAUACGGAGGGGGUUAGCGUUGUUCGGAAUCACUGGGCGUAAAGCGCACGUAGGCGGAUUAGAAAGUUAGAGGUGAAAGCCCAUCGCUCAACGAUGGAACUGCCUUUGAUACUGGUUGACUUGAGUUAUACGGAAGUAGAUAGAAUAAGUAGUGUAGCGGUGAAAUGCAUAGAUAUUACUUAGAAUACCGAUUGCGAAAGCAGUCUACUACGUAUAUACUGACGCUGAGGGACGAAAGCGUGGGGAGCGAACAGGAUUAGAUA